RNAcentral lists this ribosomal RNA (450 nucleotides) under uncultured bacterium. RNAcentral's name for it is "partial 16S ribosomal RNA". It matches the Rfam family "Bacterial small subunit ribosomal RNA", at positions 328 to 795 of the family's 1533-position model. The record is from RNAcentral.
UUACCAGACUCCUACGGGAGGCAGCAGUGGGGAAUAUUGCACAAUGGGGGGAACCCUGAUGCAGCGACGCCGCGUGGGUGAAGAAGUCAUUCGUGACGUAAAGCCCUAUCAGCAGGGAAGAAAAUGACGGUACCUGACUAAGAAGCCCCGGCUAACUACGUGCCAGCAGCCGCGGUAAUACGUAGGGAGCAAGCGUUAUCCGGAUUUACUGGGUGUAAAGGGCGCGUAGGCGGGAUGGCAAGUCAGAUGUGAAAUCCAAGGGCUCAACCCUUGAACUGCAUUUGAAACUGUCGUUCUUGAGUACUGGAGAGGUUGACGGAAUUCCUAGUGUAGCGGUGAAAUGCGUAGAUAUUAGGAGGAACACCAGUGGCGAAGGCGGUCAACUGGACAGCAACUGACGCUGAGGCGCGAAAGCGUGGGGAGCAAACAGGAUUAGAUACCCUUGUACAC